UAUAAGUGGAUUCCAAAACCACGAAUGGUUCACAAGAACACAUCACAGGAUAAAAUCUACUAAUUUAUCAUUCCAGGCAUGCAGUGCAGAUAUAAACUCAAAACACAGUACUAGAUACUUGGAUAGUUUUCAGAACGACUAAGCAAAUGUUCACACCACCCAUUUUAACAUAGGAGUCACAUGAUUGGCAGCUAGGCCUUGCAGGCACCGGACUGUCAGGAGGAUGGUCAUUCGUUCAUUACAGGCUUGUUCUCGUUGGCCUUGAACCUCUGGUCCUUCGGCUUCUGCUCUUCCAUUUU
Molecule: long non-coding RNA, 299 nt
Filed under: Hordeum vulgare
Lineage: Eukaryota; Viridiplantae; Streptophyta; Magnoliopsida; Poales; Poaceae
Description: long non-coding RNA (HVUL_LNC009211)
Source: RNAcentral